This 253-nucleotide ribosomal RNA is filed under the name uncultured bacterium. RNAcentral's name for it is "partial 16S ribosomal RNA". It matches the Rfam family "Bacterial small subunit ribosomal RNA", at positions 524 to 776 of the family's 1533-position model. The record is from RNAcentral.
UACAGAGGUCUCAAGCGUUGUUCGGAUUCAUUGGGCGUAAAGGGUGCGUAGGUGGCGUGGUAAGUCGGGUGUGAAAUUUCAGAGCUUAACUCCGAAACUGCAUUCGAUACUGCCGUGCUUGAGGACUGGAGAGGAGACUGGAAUUUACGGUGUAGCGGUGAAAUGCGUAGAUAUCGUAAGGAAGACCAGUGGCGAAGGCGGGUCUCUGGACAGUUCCUGACGCUGAGGCACGAAGGUCAGGGGAGCAAACGGG